UGGAAGGCCCAGCUUUGCAGUGUGGACUGCACCCUGCAGACCUGGCCUUAGCAAA
This 55-nucleotide microRNA precursor is filed under the name Cavia porcellus (domestic guinea pig). RNAcentral describes it as "microRNA cpo-mir-2387 precursor". The record is from miRBase by way of RNAcentral. Lineage: Eukaryota; Metazoa; Chordata; Mammalia; Rodentia; Caviidae.